UGGGGAAUUUUGGGCAAUGGGGGAAACCCUGACCCAGCGACGCCGCGUGGAGGAUGACGGCCUUCGGGUUGUAAACUCCUGUCAGGUGGGAAGAAAAGCCAGUCGGUUAAUACCCGGCAGGAAUUGACGGUACCACCAAAGGAAGCCCCGGCUAACUCCGUGCCAGCAGCCGCGGUAAUACGGAGGGGGCAAGCGUUAUUCGGAUUUACUGGGCGUAAAGCGCACGUAGGUGGCAUGGUAAGUCAAAGGUGAAAGCCCUCGGCUCAACCGAGGAAUUGCCUUUGAAACUGUCUUGCUUGAGUCCGGGAGGGGGGAGCGGAAUUCCCAGUGUAGCGGUGAAAUGCGUAGAUACUGGGAGGAACACCGGUGGCGAAGGCGGCUCCCUGGACCGGUACUGACACUGAGGUGCGAAAGCGUGGGUAGCAAACA
This 429-nucleotide ribosomal RNA is filed under the name uncultured bacterium. RNAcentral's name for it is "bacterial SSU rRNA". It matches the Rfam family "Bacterial small subunit ribosomal RNA", at positions 355 to 774 of the family's 1533-position model. The record is from RNAcentral.